AUUUAUCGGAGAGUUUGAUCCUGGCUCAGGACGAACGCUGGCGGCGUGCCUAAUACAUGCAAGUCGAGCGGACAGAUGGGAGCUUGCUCCCUGAUGUUAGCGGCGGACGGGUGAGUAACACGUGGGUAACCUGCCUGUAAGACUGGGAUAACUCCGGGAAACCGGGGCUAAUACCGGAUGCUUGUUUGAACCGCAUGGUUCAAACAUAAAAGGUGGCUUCGGCUACCACUUACAGAUGGACCCG
Molecule: ribosomal RNA, 244 nt
Filed under: Bacillus subtilis
Lineage: Bacteria; Bacillati; Bacillota; Bacilli; Caryophanales; Bacillaceae
Description: Small Subunit Ribosomal RNA; ssuRNA; SSU rRNA
Rfam family: Bacterial small subunit ribosomal RNA
Source: RNAcentral